GCUUACGGCCACACCGCCUUUGGUUCACGCCCGACUCGUUUGACUCGGAAGCUAAGAUAGGUUGGGUGGUUAGUACUUGGAUGGGAGACCGCCUGGGAAUACCAGGUGCUGUAAGCU
This 117-nucleotide ribosomal RNA is filed under the name Scophthalmus maximus (turbot). The record is from RNAcentral. Lineage: Eukaryota; Metazoa; Chordata; Actinopteri; Pleuronectiformes; Scophthalmidae.